GUGCAUGCGGGUGCAUAUACAUGCAGUCGAGCGGACAGAUGGGAGCUUGCUCCCUGAUGUUAGCGGCGGACGGGUGAGUAACACGUGGGUAACCUGCCUGUAAGACUGGGAUAACUCCGGGAAACCGGGGCUAAUACCGGAUGGUUGUUUGAACCGCAUGGUUCAGACAUAAAAGGUGGCUUCGGCUACCACUUACAGAUGGACCCGCGGCGCAUUAGCUAGUUGGUGAGGUAACGGCUCACCAAGGCGACGAUGCGUAGCCGACCUGAGAGGGUGAUCGGCCACACUGGGACUGAGACACGGCCCAGACUCCUACGGGAGGCAGCAGUAGGGAAUCUUCCGCAAUGGACGAAAGUCUGACGGAGCAACGCCGCGUGAGUGAUGAAGGUUUUCGGAUCGUAAAGCUCUGUUGUUAGGGAAGAACAAGUGCCGUUCAAAUAGGGCGGCACCUUGACGGUACCUAACCAGAAAGCCACGGCUAACUACGUGCCAGCAGCCGCGGUAAUACGUAGGUGGCAAGCGUUGUCCGGAAUUAUUGGGCGUAAAGGGCUCGCAGGCGGUUUCUUAAGUCUGAUGUGAAAGCCCCCGGCUCAACCGGGGAGGGUCAUUGGAAACUGGGGAACUUGAGUGCAGAAGAGGAGAGUGGAAUUCCACGUGUAGCGGUGAAAUGCGUAGAGAUGUGGAGGAACACCAGUGGCGAAGGCGACUCUCUGGUCUGUAACUGACGCUGAGGAGCGAAAGCGUGGGGAGCGAACAGGAUUAGAUACCCUGGUAGUCCACGCCGUAAACGAUGAGUGCUAAGUGUUAGGGGGUUUCCGCCCCUUAGUGCUGCAGCUAACGCAUUAAGCACUCCGCCUGGGGAGUACGGUCGCAAGACUGAAACUCAAAGGAAUUGACGGGGGCCCGCACAAGCGGUGGAGCAUGUGGUUUAAUUCGAAGCAACGCGAAGAACCUUACCAGUCUUGACAUCCUCUGACAAUCCUAGAGAUAGGACGUCCCCUUCGGGGCAGAGUGACAGUGGUGCAUGGUGUCGUCAGCUCGUGUCGUGAGAUGUUGGGUUAAGUCCCGCACGAGCGCACCCUUGAUCUUAGUUGCCAGCAUUCAGUUG
This 1108-nucleotide ribosomal RNA is filed under the name Bacillus sp. enrichment culture clone AH1. RNAcentral describes it as "bacterial SSU rRNA". It matches the Rfam family "Bacterial small subunit ribosomal RNA", at positions 33 to 1133 of the family's 1533-position model. Lineage: Bacteria; Bacillati; Bacillota; Bacilli; Caryophanales; Bacillaceae. The record is from RNAcentral.